CAUCCCUACGCGGCGCACAAGGGAGCUGAAGAGGAAGCAUUGAGUGCUCCCUCGCGCGCCCGCCUGCCCGACCGGCCACCUGCCCAGGAGCCCAGCAGCACCACUGGACCCCAGGGAAUCCCCCAGCACUCCAAAAGGUAAGGAGGCUGGGGGGAUUAAAUUUCAAAACAAAAAAGUUAGUGUUAGUGUGAGUGUUAGUGUGAGUGUUAGAGUGAGUGUUAGUGUGUGUGUCUGCUAGUGAGCGUUAGUGUGUGUGUCAGUGUUAGUGUGAGUGUUAGUGUGUGUGUCUGCUAGUGUUAGUGUGUGUUAGUGUGUGUGAGUGUUAGUGUGAGUGUUAGAGUGAGUGUGAGUGUUAGUGUGUGUGUCUGCUAGUGAGUGUCAGUGAGUGUGUUACUGUGUGUGUCUUACUGAGUGUGUGUGUUAGUGAGUCUGUUUGAUGUCUGUUAAUGAGUGUGUGUUUGUCAAUGAGAGUGUAUGUUUUGUAAGUGAGUGUGUAUGUAUGUCUGUCGCUGACUGUGUCUCUGUCAGUAAAUGUGUGUGUCUGUUAGCUAGUGUGUAUGCGUCUGUGUGAGAGUGUGUGUGUCUUCAGCACUUACCUUUCUCCAGCGCCGGACUCCCUUGGCGCUGGGGAUCCCUCAGCCUCUCAGCUCCGAAUGCGACCGCGCACGCAUUCAAACCGCCCAUAGGAAAGCAUUACUCAAUG
Molecule: non-coding RNA, 703 nt
Organism: Pelobates cultripes (western spadefoot toad)
Lineage: Eukaryota; Metazoa; Chordata; Amphibia; Anura; Pelobatidae
Source: the annotation of a GenBank genome assembly